RNAcentral lists this ribosomal RNA (441 nucleotides) under uncultured bacterium. Its description in RNAcentral is "bacterial SSU rRNA". It matches the Rfam family "Bacterial small subunit ribosomal RNA", at positions 958 to 1398 of the family's 1533-position model. The record is from RNAcentral.
AACGCGAAGAACCUUACCUGGGCUCGAACGGCUUCUCAACGCCGGUGGAAACAUCGGUACCCCGCAAGGGGGUGGAGUCGAGGUGCUGCAUGGCUGUCGUCAGCUCGUGUCGUGAGAUGUUGGGUUAAGUCCCGCAACGAGCGCAACCCUUGUCCUGUGUUGCCAUCAUUCAGUUGGGAACUCGCAGGAGACCGCCAGGGAUAACCUGGAGGAAGGUGGGGAUGACGUCAAGUCCUCAUGGCCUUUAUGUCCAGGGCUACACACGUGCUACAAUGGACGGUACAAAGCGCAGCAAACCCGCGAGGGGGAGCCAAUCGCAAAAAACCGGCCUCAGUUCGGAUUGGAGUCUGCAACCCGACUCCAUGAAGCUGGAAUCGCUAGUAAUCGCGGAUCAGAACGCCGCGGUGAAUACGUUCCCGGGCCUUGUACACACCGAGUAUA